CCUACGGGUGGCAGCAGUGGGGAAUAUUGCACAAUGGGGGAAACCCUGAUGCAGCGACGCCGCGUUAAGGAAGAAGUAUUUCGGUAUGUAAACUUCGAUCAGCAGGGAAGAAAAUGACGGUACCUGACUAUGCAGCCCCGGCUAACUACGUGCCAGAAGCCGCGGUAAUACGUAGGGGGCAAGCGUUAUCCGGAUUUACUGGGUGUAAAGGUGGCGUAGGCGGCGUUGCAAGUCAGAAGUGAAAGCCCGGGGCUCAACUCCGGGACUGCUUUUGAAACUGUAUGGCUAGAUUGCAGGAGAGGCAAGUGGAAUUCCUAGUGUAGCGGUGAAAUGCGUAGAUAUUAGGAGGAACACCAGUGGCGAAGGCGGCUUGCUGGACUGUAAAUGACGCUGAGGCUCGAAAGCGUGGGGAGCAAACAGGAUUAGAUACCCCUGUAGUC
Molecule: ribosomal RNA, 440 nt
Filed under: uncultured bacterium
Lineage: Bacteria
Description: partial 16S ribosomal RNA
Rfam family: Bacterial small subunit ribosomal RNA
Source: RNAcentral